GUAUAGGGGAGCCGCAGGGAAACCGAGUCUUAACUGGGCGUUAAGUUGCAGGGUAUAGACCCGAAACCCGGUGAUCUAGCCAUGGGCAGGUUGAAGGUUGGGUAACACUAACUGGAGGACCGAACCGACUAAUGUUGAAAAAUUAGCGGAUGACUUGUGGCUGGGGGUGAAAGGCCAAUCAAACCGGGAGAUAGCUGGUUCUCCCCGAAAGCUAUUUAGGUAGCGCCUCGUGAACUCAUCUUCGGGGGUAGAGCACUGUUUCGGCUAGGGGGUCAUCCCGACUUACCAACCCGAUGCAAACUACGAAUACCGAAGAAUGUUAUCACGGGAGACACACGGCGGGUGCUAACGUCCGUCGUGAAGAGGGAAACAACCCAGACCGCCAGCUAAGGUCCCAAAGUCAUGGUUAAGUGGGAAACGAUGUGGGAAGGCACAGACAGCCAGGAUGUUGGCUUAGAAGCAGCCAUCAUUUAAAGAAAGCGUAAUAGCUCACUGGUCGAGUCGGCCUGCGCGGAAGAUGUAACGGGGCUAAACCAUGCACCGAAGCUGCGGCAGCGACACUAUGUGUUGUUGGGUAGGGGAGCGUUCUGUAAGCCUGCGAAGGUGUGCUGUGAGGCAUGCUGGAGGUAUCAGAAGUGCGAAUGCUGACAUAAGUAACGAUAAAGCGGGUGAAAAGCCCGCUCGCCGGAAGACCAAGGGUUCCUGUCCAACGUUAAUCGGGGCAGGGUGAGUCGACCCCUAAGGCGAGGCCGAAAGGCGUAGUCGAUGGGAAACAGGUUAAUAUUCCUGUACUUGGUGUUACUGCGAAGGGGGGACGGAGAAGGCUAUGUUAGCCGGGCGACGGUUGUCCCGGUUUAAGCAUGUAGGCUGGUUAUCCAGGCAAAUCCGGAUAAUCAAGGCUGAGGUGUGAUGACGAGGCACUACGGUGCUGAAGUAACAAAUGCCCUGCUUCCAGGAAAAGCCUCUAAGCAUCAGGUAACAUCAAAUCGUACCCCAAACCGACACAGGUGGUCAGGUAGAGAAUACCAAGGCGCUUGAGAGAACUCGGGUGAAGGAACUAGGCAAAAUGGUGCCGUAACUUCGGGAGAAGGCACGCUGGUGUGUAGGUGAAGUCCCUGCGGAUGGAGCUGAGACCAGUCGAAGAUACCAGCUGGCUGCAACUGUUUAUUAAAAACACAGCACUGUGCAAACACGAAAGUGGACGUAUACGGUGUGACGCCUGCCCGGUGCCGGAAGGUUAAUUGAUGGGGUUAUCCGUAAGGAGAAGCUCUUGAUCGAAGCCCCGGUAAACGGCGGCCGUAACUAUAACGGUCCUAAGGUAGCGAAAUUCCUUGUCGGGUAAGUUCCGACCUGCACGAAUGGCGUAAUGAUGGCCAGGCUGUCUCCACCCGAGACUCAGUGAAAUUGAACUCGCUGUGAAGAUGCAGUGUACCCGCGGCAAGACGGAAAGACCCCGUGAACCUUUACUAUAGCUUGACACUGAACAUUGAGCCUUGAUGUGUAGGAUAGGUGGGAGGCUUUGAAGCGUGGACGCCAGUCUGCGUGGAGCCAACCUUGAAAUACCACCCUUUAAUGUUUGAUGUUCUAACGUUGGCCCCUGACCGGGGUUGCGGACAGUGUCUGGUGGGUAGUUUGACUGGGGCGGUCUCCUCCCAAAGCGUAACGGAGGAGCACGAAGGUUAGCUAAUCCUGGUCGGACAUCAGGAGGUUAGUGCAAUGGCAUAAGCUAGCUUGACUGCGAGCGUGACGGCGCGAGCAGGUGCGAAAGCAGGUCAUAGUGAUCCGGUGGUUCUGAAUGGAAGGGCCAUCGCUCAACGGAUAAAAGGUACUCCGGGGAUAACAGGCUGAUACCGCCCAAGAGUUCAUAUCGACGGCGGUGUUUGGCACCUCGAUGUCGGCUCAUCACAUCCUGGGGCUGAAGUAGGUCCCAAGGGUAUGGCUGUUCGCCAUUUAAAGUGGUACGCGAGCUGGGUUUAGAACGUCGUGAGACAGUUCGGUCCCUAUCUGCCGUGGGCGCUGGAGAAUUGAGGGGGGCUGCUCCUAGUACGAGAGGACCGGAGUGGACGCAUCACUGGUGUUCGGGUUGUCAUGCCAAUGGCACUGCCCGGUAGCUAAAUGCGGAAGAGAUAAGUGCUGAAAGCAUCUAAGCACGAAACUUGCCCCGAGAUGAGUUCUCCCUGAGACU
Molecule: ribosomal RNA, 2185 nt
Filed under: Klebsiella pneumoniae
Lineage: Bacteria; Pseudomonadati; Pseudomonadota; Gammaproteobacteria; Enterobacterales; Enterobacteriaceae
Description: partial 23S ribosomal RNA
Rfam family: Bacterial large subunit ribosomal RNA
Source: RNAcentral